GUCAGGUACACCAGGAGCUCUGUAGUUGGAUAGGUCAGGAGCUCUGUAGUUGGAGACCAGGAGCUCUGUAGUUGGAUAGAUCAGGUAGACCAGGAGCUCUGUAGAUGGAUAGGUCAGGUAGACCAGGAGCUCUGUAGAUGGAUAGGUCAGGUAGACCAGGAGCUCUGUAGAUGGAUAGGUCAGGUAGACCAGGAGCUCUGUAGUUGGAUAGGUCAGGUAGACCAGGAGCUCUGUAGUUGGAUAGGUCAGGUACACCAGGAGCUCUGUAGUUGGAUAGGUCAGGUAGACCAGGAGCUCUGUAGUUGGAUAGGUCAGGUACACCAGGAGCUCUGUAGUUGGAUAGGUCAGGUACACCAGGAGCUCUGUAGUUGGAUAGUUCAGGUACUGUAAAUUCAAAGGGAUUUUCCCCAGGGAAAUAUGUGCAAGUAUCUUCGAUAUGUUUGAAUAUCUGCAGAGCCUUCAGAAUGUUUUCACACCCCUUGACUUUUCCACGUGGUUGUUGUGUUAUAG
Oncorhynchus tshawytscha (Chinook salmon) is the source of this 510-nucleotide long non-coding RNA. Lineage: Eukaryota; Metazoa; Chordata; Actinopteri; Salmoniformes; Salmonidae. The record is from Ensembl.